RNAcentral lists this ribosomal RNA (610 nucleotides) under Rhodotorula mucilaginosa. Its description in RNAcentral is "partial large subunit ribosomal RNA". It matches the Rfam family "Eukaryotic large subunit ribosomal RNA", at positions 46 to 664 of the family's 3401-position model. The record is from RNAcentral. Lineage: Eukaryota; Fungi; Basidiomycota; Microbotryomycetes; Sporidiobolales; Sporidiobolaceae.
AAAAGCGGAGGAAAAGAAACUAACAAGGAUUCCCCUAGUAGCGGCGAGCGAAGCGGGAAGAGCUCAAAUUUAUAAUCUGGCACCUUCGGUGUCCGAGUUGUAAUCUCUAGAAAUGUUUUCCGCGUUGGACCGCACACAAGUCUGUUGGAAUACAGCGGCAUAGUGGUGAGACCCCCGUAUAUGGUGCGGACGCCCAGCGCUUUGUGAUACAUUUUCGAAGAGUCGAGUUGUUUGGGAAUGCAGCUCAAAUUGGGUGGUAAAUUCCAUCUAAAGCUAAAUAUUGGCGAGAGACCGAUAGCGAACAAGUACCGUGAGGGAAAGAUGAAAAGCACUUUGGAAAGAGAGUUAACAGUACGUGAAAUUGUUGGAAGGGAAACGCUUGAAGUCAGACUUGCUUGCCGAGCAAUCGGUUUGCAGGCCAGCAUCAGUUUUCCGGGAUGGAUAAUGGUAGAGAGAAGGUAGCAGUUUCGGCUGUGUUAUAGCUCUCUGCUGGAUACAUCUUGGGGGACUGAGGAACGCAGUGUGCCUUUGGCGGGGGUUUCGACCUCUUCACACUUAGGAUGCUGGUGGAAUGGCUUUAAACGACCCGUCUUGAAACCCGGGACACAAA